GACGAACGCUGGCGGCGUGCUUAACACAUGCAAGUCGAACGGUAAGGCCCUUCGGGGUACACGAGUGGCGAACGGGUGAGUAACACGUGGGUGAUCUGCCCUGCACUUCGGGAUAAGCCUGGGAAACUGGGUCUAAUACCGGAUAGGACCCUGGGAUGCAUGUCCUGGGGUGGAAAGCUUUUGCGGUGUGGGAUGGGCCCGCGGCCUAUCAGCUUGUUGGUGGGGUGAUGGCCUACCAAGGCGACGACGGGUAGCCGGCCUGAGAGGGUGACCGGCCACACUGGGACUGAGAUACUGCCCAGACUCCUACGGGAGGCAGCAGUGGGGAAUAUUGCACAAUGGGCGCAAGCCUGAUGCAGCGACGCCGCGUGAGGGAUGACGGCCUUCGGGUUGUAAACCUCUUUCAGCACCGACGAAGCGCAAGUGACGGUAGGUGCAGAAGAAUGACCGGCCAACUACGUGCCAGCCGCCGCGGUAA
Molecule: ribosomal RNA, 478 nt
Filed under: uncultured bacterium
Lineage: Bacteria
Description: partial 16S ribosomal RNA
Rfam family: Bacterial small subunit ribosomal RNA
Source: RNAcentral